This is a small nucleolar RNA of 72 nucleotides. Its record names the gene SNORD24. It matches the Rfam family "Small nucleolar RNA SNORD24". Rfam says of the family: U24 is a member of the C/D class of snoRNA which contain the C (UGAUGA) and D (CUGA) box motifs. C/D box snoRNAs have been shown to act as methylation guides for a number of RNA targets. U24 is encoded within an intron of the gene for ribosomal protein L7a in mammals, chicken and Fugu. The record is from Ensembl.
UGCAGAUGAUGUAAAGAAUAUUUGCUAUCUUAAUUAUACUGUAGACAUUCUCCCACCAAGAUCGCUGAUGCA